UGGGGAAUCUUGCACAAUGGACGAAAGUCAGAUGCAGCAACGCCGCGUGGGGGAUGAAGCUUCUCGGAGUGUAAACCCCUUUCGACCGGGACGAAAAGCCCGCAAGGGAAUUGACGGUACCGGUAUAAGAAGCCCCGGCUAACUACGUGCCAGCAGCCGCGGUAAGACGUAGGGGGCCAGCGUUGCUCGGAAUAACUGGGCGUAAAGGGUCCGUAGGCGGUGUGGCAAGUUGGGAGUGAAAUCUCUGGGCUUAACCCAGGGGCUGCUUCCAAAACUGCCGUGCUAGAGUGCGAGAGAGGUGAGUGGAAUUGCAGGUGUAGCGGUGAAAUGCGUAGAUAUCUGCAGGAACACCCGUGGCGAAGGCGGCUCACUGGAUCGCAACUGACGCUGAGGGACGAAAGCUAGGGGAGCAAACAGGAUUAGAUACCCUGGUAGUCCUAGCCCUAAACGAUCAGAACUUGGGGUGCAUCCCGUUGGGGGUGCGUCCCGUAGCUAACGCGUUAAG
This 505-nucleotide ribosomal RNA is filed under the name uncultured bacterium. RNAcentral describes it as "bacterial SSU rRNA". It matches the Rfam family "Bacterial small subunit ribosomal RNA", at positions 355 to 864 of the family's 1533-position model. The record is from RNAcentral.